RNAcentral lists this ribosomal RNA (440 nucleotides) under uncultured bacterium. RNAcentral's name for it is "bacterial SSU rRNA". It matches the Rfam family "Bacterial small subunit ribosomal RNA", at positions 958 to 1399 of the family's 1533-position model. The record is from RNAcentral.
AACGCGAAGAACCUUACCUGGGCUCGAAAUGUAGUGGAAUCCGGCAGAAACGUCGGCGUCUAGCAAUAGACCGCUAUAUAGGUGCUGCAUGGCUGUCGUCAGCUCGUGUCGUGAGAUGUUGGGUUAAGUCCCGCAACGAGCGCAACCCUUACCCUUAGUUGCCACCCGCAAGGGGGAACUCUAAGGGGACUGCUCCGGAUAACGGAGAGGAAGGUGGGGAUGAGGUCAAGUCAGCAUGGCCUUUAUGUCCAGGGCUACACACGUGUUACAAUGCAUGGUACAGACCGUUGCAAACCCGCGAGGGGGAGCUAACCGGAAAAAACCAUGCUCAGUUCGGAUUGCAGUCUGCAACUCGACUGCAUGAAGCCGGAAUCGCUAGUAAUGGCGUAUCAGAACGACGCCGUGAAUACGUUCCCGGGCCUUGUACACACCGACUGUAC